UCCUAUUGUGCCCUAGAGUACGUUUUGAUAUUGCAUUUUAAGGCAUUGCGCUGUUUAAAUAGAAGAUAUAGUCAGUUCUGAAAUGUUUUGUCCCUUCUUGGAGAAAAGGAGCCUUGCCACCGGGAUGCGACAAGCCCAUGGCACAACCUCCUGGAAGGGGUGUAAGCAGACUUGAAGAAGCCCUGACAGAAGUGGCCGAGCCAGCUCAUCUGUUCUGUGCCAGACAAAAACAGGGUAUUUCUCUUAGUGCGACUUACUGGAGUGACAAGCCAGCCGUAAGCCAGGUUUUAUCACACCAUCAUGGAAGGUUUGGCCCAGCAGGGUGUGCAGCCAGCCUGCAAAGUGCUGAGGAGCUCUUGGGCCUCACCACCUUCCUCUGCAGCAAGGCCUGGGUCUUGGGCAUGCCUGUGGCUUGGGUAUGGUGCUACAGCCUCCACAGAGCUGUGGUGCCAAAGGAGAACACACAGGGACUCUACUAGAAGGUAUUUUCCUCAGCAACUACUUUGCUCUGUGGCUGUGACUGGACACGUGAGGCCUGGUAUGCUGACAGGAAAGAGGGCUGAUGCCAGGCCCUGGUGAUAGUUUGGGUAGGUGGGCAUUGCUUUCCCUGCCUGCAAGAGCUACGGCUGGGAGUCAUAGAAUCAUUAAGGUUGGAAAAAAUCUAAGGUUCUAAAAAUCUAGUCCAACUGCCAGCCCAUCCCCGCCAUGCCCACUAACCAUGUCCCUCAGUGCCACAUCCACACGGUUCUUGAGCACCUCCAGGAAUGGUGACUCUAUCACUUCCCUGGGCAGCCUGUGCCAGUGCCUCACUGCUCUUUCUGAGAAGAAGUUUUUCCUAAUAUCCAACCAGGAAGCUCUCCUGUGAACACACGUAAGGAAGUGGCCCAGCUGUCAGAGAUCUUCCGAGGAGAGAGAAGGACAAAUGCUGACCCAAACAGAUGUUAGUAUGGCGUCUUAAACACAGGUACUUGUUUGAGGCAUUCCAACACUAAUGAUGAACACGGUACAAAUAACUAGAUGUGGCAUCAGUGACCAUGAAGCUCACUGAAUGUCCUGUCAUUGAAUUUCUGGCUAAUAAUACUUGAGAGAGUUUGAAGCUCUGUCAGUAAAUUGUACUCUAUAUCACUUUAUUAACCUGGUGCUGGACACCUUCCAGCUGGACGCUUUUCUCGGUGGCCACCACAUGCAGCUGCAGUACCUGGGAGAAGGAGAAGAUAAGGUUGGACCAGAAUUCCUCAGUGGAGCAUUUUUCCAACACACAGAGCCAGUUUGUCCAAAUCAGAAGUGAAUCAGUUUGCAGGACGCCCUGGGAGGGCAGACAGAAGGCAGUGCCAUGCAGAAGGUCCCAAGCAGCUGAUGCUCAGGGCAGCAGGCGCUGCCAGGUCCCUGCCUGACUCCAGCAGAGCACCUGGCUGCCGCUGACAAGGGAGAGGUGUGAAUACAUGGGGUGACAGCUACUGCUGGAGGAAAGUGGGAGCAGAUGCUGCCCUAACUCUCUGGCCUGGGUGCAGGUUGCAGUGAGCCCUGGAAGUGCUCUGAGCAGCGGCUGGCACCAGGUAAGCCAAGAUCCUCCCAUUCUUCCAGCUGAAUGGCACUGAACAAGGAGCCUCAGAGCACAAGCUAUUAGAUAGCAAUUUCCUUGACAAAGCCUCUAUGUUAAUUCAGUACAGACUACUUACAGAAUUUCCCUUCUCUGAGAAAAUUUCAACUUUUACAGAGAAAUGGUGCUCGGUCUUUUUUUUUUUCCUCCUUCCUUUUCAGAACUUCAGAAGUUACCUCAAAAAUUCCCCGAAGCCUUAAUAAUAAAGAUUCUCUGUUGUGUGCCA
RNAcentral lists this long non-coding RNA (1826 nucleotides) under Numida meleagris (helmeted guineafowl). RNAcentral describes it as "lncRNA (ENSNMEG00000002115.1)". Lineage: Eukaryota; Metazoa; Chordata; Aves; Galliformes; Numididae. The record is from RNAcentral.